This 352-nucleotide long non-coding RNA is filed under the name Marmota monax (woodchuck). Lineage: Eukaryota; Metazoa; Chordata; Mammalia; Rodentia; Sciuridae. The record is from RNAcentral.
AAGAGAGGACCCAAGAAGGGCCAGAAAUGAGGAGGAGCAUUGACAAGAGUAUUCAAUGACAGGUGACGAUCCUUGGCUCUUCUGAUGAAGUUGUAGGAGUGCCAGGAUAAAGCCUAGAAAUGUGAAUCCAUGGAGUAAGUUGGUUAUUAGACAGCUUGAGUUUGGCCACCAAGGGAGUGCACAUAAUCACCUGAGCAGGACCCUCCCAUUUUGGUUUUAAAGGGGGCUUUUCCCCCGGUGGGCAAUAAUAAACAAGUUGACCAGGUGUUAAGGAGGUAGGGUUUUGAGAGAGACUGGAGUCAGGAGGGAGCCAGUCUUGAUAGCGCCAGAGUUCAGAGUGUAGAUGGAAGAG